CCUACGGGAGGCUGCAGUGGGGAAUAUUGGACAAUGGGGGGAACCCUGAUCCAGCCAGGCCGCGUGUGUGAAGAAGGCCCUCGGUUUGUAAAGCACUUUCAGUGAGGAAGAACGCCUGUUGGUUAAUACCCAUCAGGAAAGACAUCACUCACAGAAGAAGCACCGGCUAACUCCGUGCCAGCAGCCGCGGUAAUACGGAGGGUGCGAGCGUUAAUCGGAAUUACUGGGCGUAAAGCGCGCGUAGGUGGCUUGAUAAGCCGGUUGUGAAAGCCCCGGGCUCAACCUGGGAACGGCAUCCGGAACUGUCAAGCUAGAGUGCAGGAGAGGAAGGUAGAAUUCCCGGUGUAGCGGUGAAAUGCGUAGAGAUCGGGAGGAAUACCAGUGGCGAAGGCGGCCUUCUGGACUGACACUGACACUGAGGUGCGAAAGCGUGGGUAGCAAACAGGAUUAGAUACCCCAGUAGUC
Molecule: ribosomal RNA, 465 nt
Filed under: Vreelandella stevensii
Lineage: Bacteria; Pseudomonadati; Pseudomonadota; Gammaproteobacteria; Oceanospirillales; Halomonadaceae
Description: partial 16S ribosomal RNA
Rfam family: Bacterial small subunit ribosomal RNA
Source: RNAcentral